This 708-nucleotide ribosomal RNA is filed under the name Triticum aestivum (bread wheat). RNAcentral describes it as "partial small subunit ribosomal RNA". The record is from RNAcentral. Lineage: Eukaryota; Viridiplantae; Streptophyta; Magnoliopsida; Poales; Poaceae.
AUGUUAAAAAAAAGCAAGUUCUGCUGUUACCCGGAAAUGGUGGGAACGGUCAUCUUCAUCUUGGGCAGGGCCUUCGGCGGCUUUGACAAUGUCGCUCAUGGAUGCUUUGGAGCUUUUUCAGUCGGCGCUGGGGAAGACGUCCGAGGGCGUUUUGACGACUGCCCAACAGGCACAGUCGCCUUACCACGUUCGCGCGCAGGGUCGUGUGUGAGCUUGGAUCGCCUUUCCGUGCGGGGAGGAUCGACUUCUUCCUCCUCCUCUCCACUGGAGUCGUCGUCAUCAUCCUCCUCCCCUUCACCGUUAGAUUGCCACUCCUCCCCACUUUUGCCUCCGCUCGCCUCCCCCUCCUUGGCCUGCUCUUGCGCCCCGUUGGGCAUCAAGUACAUAUCAUUAAUGGCCUGGAAGACAACAAACAAGACAAAAGUCAAUCGACAGAUUCUAAGAGAACAGAAUGAAGAAAGCAAGGUUACAGUCAGAGAUGCAGAGUCGGACCUGGUCUACUUCGUAUGUUUGGUCGAGUGGAGGAAUCCUCCUGGCUCCUCGGGGGUUGUCCUUGUUCCCUGUGAUACUCGACAACCACCCUUCCAACAUUUCGUCGUCGACCUCCUCCUAAUGAAUCCGAGUGGUGUCAUCGAGGCCCGAAUACAUCCACAUCGGAUGGUCACGAGCUUGGAGCGGUUGGAUGCGCCUCCGGAGGAAGACCUCUAA